AUAUCAAUAAGCGGAGGAAAAGAAACCAACAGGGAUUACCCUAGUAACGGCGAGUGAAGCGGUAACAGCUCAAAUUUGAAAUCUGGCCUUCACGGGUCCGAGUUGUAAUUUGUAGAGGAUGUUUCGGGCAAGGCUCUGGUUUAAAUUUCUUGGAACAGAAUGUCAUAGAGGGUGAGAGUCCCGUCUAGAACCGAUGGCCGCGUCCAUGUGAAACUCCUUCGACGAGUCGAGUUGUUUGGGAAUGCAGCUCAAAAUGGGUGGUAAAUUUCAUCUAAAGCUAAAUAUUGGCCAGAGACCGAUAGCGCACAAGUAGAGUGAUCGAAAGAUGAAAAGCACUUUGAAAAGAGAGUUAAACAGUAUGUGAAAUUGUUGAAAGGGAAGCGCUUGCGGCCAGACUUGCCCGCGGUUGCUCAGCCCACCUUCUGGUGGGUGUAUUCUUCCGCGGUCGAGCCAGUAUCGGUUUGGGCGGUCGGACAAAGGCGCCGGGAAUGUGGCCCCUCUCGGGGGGUGUUAUAGCCCGGUGUGCAAUGCGGCCAGCCCGGACCGAGGAUCGCGCUUCGGCUAGGAUGCUGGCGUAAUGGCUGUAAGCGG
RNAcentral lists this ribosomal RNA (591 nucleotides) under uncultured fungus. RNAcentral describes it as "eukaryotic LSU rRNA". It matches the Rfam family "Eukaryotic large subunit ribosomal RNA", at positions 40 to 647 of the family's 3401-position model. Lineage: Eukaryota; Fungi. The record is from RNAcentral.